AGCGAACGCUGGCGGCAGGCUUAACACAUGCAAGUCGAACGCAUCACUUCGGUGGUGAGUGGCAGACGGGUGAGUAACACGUGGGAACGUACCCUUCGAUCUGGGAUAACUUCGGGAAACUGGAGCUAAUACCGGAUACGCCCUUUUGGGGAAAGGUUUACUGUCGAAGGAUCGGCCCGCGUCUGAUUAGCUAGUUGGUGGGGUAACGGCCUACCAAGGCGACGAUCAGUAGCUGGUCUGAGAGGAUGAUCAGCCACACUGGGACUGAGACACGGCCCAGACUCCUACGGGAGGCAGCAGUGGGGAAUAUUGGACAAUGGGCGCAAGCCUGAUCCAGCCAUGCCGCGUGAGUGAUGAAGGCCUUAGGGUUGUAAAGCUCUUUUGUCCGGGACGAUAAUGACGGUACCGGAAGAAUAAGCCCCGGCUAACUUCGUG
This 435-nucleotide ribosomal RNA is filed under the name uncultured bacterium. RNAcentral describes it as "partial 16S ribosomal RNA". It matches the Rfam family "Bacterial small subunit ribosomal RNA", at positions 29 to 507 of the family's 1533-position model. The record is from RNAcentral.